UGUAUCCUGUGCAGACUGCAGAACAAACUUAGCAAUGGUAUUAAACCCAGAACAUGCAUGGAUGAGAGGAAACAAUAAAAUAGAUUCAAGUGAGGUGCAGAACUAACUACGUUAAUUAGAUAACCACCUGACUCAAAAGUUCCAACAAGACCAAAGAUUGUUUCAAGCACCAUAUACAUUUGAUAGAAGGUCUAACAUACAAUAUACAUGAAUUACUACCGAUCUACUUAACUCUGGUCAGCAUUUAUACAAUAUUACAAAUCUAACACAGCUAGUUAAUUUUGGAACUCAAAAAGUUAGAAACUUUGUCUAUCAUUUCUGGCAAAGCAACUUGCCUUCAAGUACCUUCAGAGAGUUGUUAAUAAGCAGAGCCAAUCUUUCCAAAUCUGUAAACAAUGACAGAGUCAGCUCAGUCCUCACUGAGCAGUCACAGUUUGAUCCCUGAACAAACCAGCUUGAAAAUUUCAAGGAACGAGGCGCACGCCAGGAUUGACAAAGCUGAUGCUAGGGAAACCACCGAAAUUACGAAAUAACAUUUCUGAACUGUUGCAUGCUGCCUCUGGGAAUUGAUUCCGAUCAACAACCCGCUAGAUGCUGCGGCGAAGGAGAGCAUGACGGAGAACACCAG
Molecule: long non-coding RNA, 628 nt
Filed under: Citrus sinensis (sweet orange)
Lineage: Eukaryota; Viridiplantae; Streptophyta; Magnoliopsida; Sapindales; Rutaceae
Description: long non-coding RNA (CSIN_LNC005759)
Source: RNAcentral